UUAAAGUGCAUGUGGAAGGGGUGCAUGUCAUCAGUCAUAAUACUUCAAACUUUCCUCAUCACUUGCUGCUCAUAAAAUUCAGUUAGGCUUUGCAGUGGCACAGCGCUAAUUUUUGAGCAAGUCCUAACUAUAGUGUUGAGGUUAUUUUUAUUCUUUAUACAAAGAGAUGGAAACCAGCAUACCCUUACGAAAAAGAAGUUUAUUCAAGUGUGCUAUUAGUAUACUUCUUUUAAACUAUAAAAUAGGAAAGUAUGCUUUUAGUUUACUUUUAUGUACUUCUCAGAAAUGGGCUUUUUGUACUCCUCAGAAAUAUACUUAAAAUGACAUUUAAGUAUACUUACAAAAAUUAUAAAUAUAUUUGAGCUAUACUCCUAGAAUCCGUGUUUUCAUUAUUAUACGGUAGAGGGCGCUAGCACACAUCUUCUGCACAGAAUUUCAAAAAAAAAACACAAAUGAAGAAGAAAAAAAGAAACAACCGAUACUAACACAUGUAACACGAUCAUCUGACAUGAAACAACAUAAAAACUGUAACGUUAUGUAAUAAAAUGUCGACCGAUGAAGAGGUAAUAAUUAAGUCAAGCUUUGGGGUGUUGAUCNAUAGAGAUUCUAAAUAUGCAUUACACACGUUUGCCCUUAAACACCACAAUUCCCCCACCCACAAUUUUUUUUCUUUACACAAAGCAGCGACCCAACUAGCCAGUCAGAACAGCCAACCAUCACCACCUUCACGAAUCUAUCAGACCCUCCAACGCCCCAAUUCCCCAAUGUUGUCUUACCCCAAUGUCCCAGCAUCAUUCCCUGGAGAUGAAUUGGUGUUCUCUCCAAUGAAUUUACUCCAGAGGCCAUCUCCUGAAGUUGUUUCAGAUUCUUCAGAAACUGCCAGGUUGGCAUUAAAAGAUGUGGCUACUCAAAAACUUCUUACUGCAGUGACAGAGCUGUCCAAGGAGGUGAAGGACCUGUGGGAGGAAUUUAGGCAAUUCCACCAGUCCUGCAGGUGUGGACAAUUGGAGUCUGUGGUACAGCCACUGUCGGAGCCCUUGGAGCUGCCCUUCCACACCAUGGAGGCCCUGGACCAUGCAGAAGAGACACUGUUAAAUGGCACAAACCGACAGGCAAUGGUAGUUUUAGUUACAUCAUUAUUCUGUCAGAAAACUUCACUGAUAUGCACAACUUCCUUAAACUGCCUGACCUUUAUGACAGUAGACUCAUGGGUUAAUUUCACAUUUCACAUUUCAAUAUCUCCUAAAAACUGCUGUUUUUUCAGUAUGCCUUUAUCAAUCCAAGUUACAUUCAGACUGAAAAAAAUAAUUCUGCACAGACCAAAUUGGCUGAAAAUUAUGUUCGAUCUUGAAGCACUGUAUAGAGGGGUGUUUCACCAAAGCGGAAUCAAGAAAUCCAAGACCUUGAGCUGUUUUUACUCUGGAGUUACAUAAGGUCACUGUAGCUAGCUUUGCACUGUUGAAA
Long non-coding RNA from Cyprinus carpio (common carp), 1464 nucleotides. Lineage: Eukaryota; Metazoa; Chordata; Actinopteri; Cypriniformes; Cyprinidae. The record is from Ensembl.